Molecule: long non-coding RNA, 146 nt
Organism: Nothoprocta perdicaria
Lineage: Eukaryota; Metazoa; Chordata; Aves; Tinamiformes; Tinamidae
Exons: 2
Source: RefSeq, a predicted model, not a curated record
UGCACGGCGGGCGCCGUGUACACGUACCACGAGAAGCGCAAGGACACGGCCGCUUCCGGGUACGGCACGCAGCGGGUCCGUCUCGGCCGCGACGCCGUCAAGGACUUCGACUGUUGCUGCCUCUCGCUGCAGCCCUGCAGGGACCC